GUACUUCACCUGCAGGGAGACACCAUGAUCACAAGAUCACAAAGGUGGUUUUCCCAGGGUAAGGUUCAUCCAUUGCACUCUGGAUGUGCUGACUCCCGAUAUUUUCCCAAAUGCAGGAAACUCCACUACAUACUUUGUGGUAGUGGAGGAUUGUUUUUGCACUCUCCUCUG
Molecule: small nuclear RNA, 171 nt
Organism: Jaculus jaculus (lesser Egyptian jerboa)
Lineage: Eukaryota; Metazoa; Chordata; Mammalia; Rodentia; Dipodidae
Gene: U1
Rfam family: U1 spliceosomal RNA
About the family: U1 is a small nuclear RNA (snRNA) component of the spliceosome (involved in pre-mRNA splicing).
Source: Ensembl